AGAAAACCCAUCCCAGACACCUACAUUCACAAAAUCCCUGAAAGACGCUGUUCUAUCAAUCUCAUUUUCCUGAUGAGAAAAUUGAGCCUCAGAGAUCAAGCAAUGUCCCCAAAGACAUACAGCUGGAAAACACUGAGAAGCAGCCUUAAGGAACAACACAGUGGUGAUAUCAAGGGACUUGAAAUUAUGUCACGUGCUAUCGGCAACCAAUAUAUGAUGUUUGGAUUGAGAACUAUGAUCAAAGUGAAGCAGUGGAACUUUGCAGUUAAUCAAACAGGAAUUUUGAACCAAAAACCCACAAAUGUGUUUCAACACACUUGAGCUACGUAAUCUUGGCAGGAGGAAGCAUUCCCAUGUGAAAGAUGAGCUCCCUAUAAAAGCAACGCUCUUAUCAUCGAGAACAGAAAGUUGAAGCCAAGAGAGAGCUCCACAAGCUGACCUUGUUAAACUAACCCUUAUCUUCUUAGUCGCUUCUUUACCCAAUUAACUACCCUAGCCGAAGCCCCUUUGCCUUAUUACAUUUUGCAACAGUGUUCGUUGUCCAAUUCAGUAUACAAGUGAGUGACUCUGGAUGCUUUUUGGGGUCUUCGUUUCCUUAUGAGGGCUUCUGUGCCAUGUAAAACUUGUAUUAAAUAAAUUUGUAUGCUUUUCUCCUGUUAAUCUGUCUAUAUCGAUUGAACUUUAGGGUCCAGUCAGAACCCAAAGAGGAUGGAGGUGGAGUUUUGGCUCCUCUACAGCUAUCUGAAUAAUCAAAAUUCAAGAUAUUCCAUGUUCUUUCUGAGUUUCUUUGAAAUUAAAAAUGCAGACAACCACUCAACUAAUACGUCAGCGAGAUACGUUUUCUGUCCUUAUUGCCUUACUGAUGAAAUUGCCUUUAUUCAUAAAAAAUAAAUGUGGGAGUCUUGUUUAUUUAUUUCUAAUGACAUUAACUUGACAUUAACCUUGGUGCUCUUGGGAACCAUAAAUGGGCCCUGUACUACUUGUUACAGAGUAUAAAUUCCCAGAACUACAAGUACAUCAUAUUCCUCAAGUUACUGAAGAAUUUCAUGAUCCAUGUGUCAGGCCUCUGAGCCCAAGCUAAGUC
Molecule: long non-coding RNA, 1084 nt
Filed under: Homo sapiens (human)
Lineage: Eukaryota; Metazoa; Chordata; Mammalia; Primates; Hominidae
Description: HSALNT0024860
Source: RNAcentral